Molecule: long non-coding RNA, 1913 nt
Organism: Oreochromis aureus
Lineage: Eukaryota; Metazoa; Chordata; Actinopteri; Cichliformes; Cichlidae
Source: Ensembl
AAAACGUCCAGACUGCUUUUGACUGCCGACUGUGGGGCAACCAUCUGUAGAACAAAGCUUUUAUUGUUUUAGAAGGAAGCUGCCAUUUUUCUACCAACUAAAUACACGUUUACUUUUAAAGUUCACAGUUAACUCUUUCUCCUUAUUGGCUGCCCCUCGAAAGUUGUGUCUGACCAUGUUAGGAUAUCUGCUUGCACUGACAUCGUGCAAAAAACUCUCUGAAACUUCAUAUUUAGAGCAGUCUGAAUCCUGAAUUUUUAACUAACAGGGAUGACUUGUAAAUAUUUGGACCUCAUUAUCUGAAACUGUGGCCGUAUUUAAUGUGAGCAUGCACUAUUUUAAUAGUUUAUAUGUGGCAGAAAAUAAUGAAAAAGCAUCAUAAGCCCACAUUCCCUUCUCUGCGUUCCCACUGGGAAUAACAUGAAUGUCUAAUGCUCUGUGGAACCGUACUGGAGACAUCAGAGUGCUUUAUAUGCAGGGAUGGUGAACUUAAAGCCAGUGACCCGCUGAGGAAUUUCUGCGACUGCAAGAAUUUACUUGCCCAUCACGUGUGUCUGUCCACAUGGAUCCAGAGGGGAUGUGGGAGUGAAGACAGAGUGCGAUGCAUCAUCUGCAAGGCCAAGUACCAGCUGCAGAGGAGUUCCCCGUGGCGGUCGGUGAGCUUCCAGUGGCAGACGUGGCUCGUGCUGAUCACGGCGACCGUUUUGAUGAGUCUGGUGCCCUACGCUGUUUACUGCAUGAUGACAGCCUUCACCAACCCUCCUCCUCCCAGCACCUUUAAAGUGGCAGCAAUUUCCUUCGGUAUACUGACAGAGACCCUGCUCAUCAAGUGUCUGUGGAGUUACUUCAGCUCUCGGUACCGGCAGGCUGCGCAGAACUCCUUCGUAGUCCAGCCCAGAGGCUCGACGGAAGACAGAAGCAACCCCGGCCUCUGGGAUCGGCCUGAGGCCGCCUCAGCAGGUCACGCUUCAUCAGCAGCCUCACCCACUCACGUGGAGGAGAGGAAAGUGGAUGUGUUGAAGAGUGGAUGCCUCAGCCUUUUCUGAACCAACAACAGAAGGAGUUUACAGAUUACAGGGUGAGAGUAAAUCCUUGGGGAAUUAGAUGUGUCUGAGAGCCAUUGAAGUUAUCACAUCAGUAUAUCAGUGUGGCAUUUAUAAGAACUUACACUUUAAAACCUAUUUUCGAGGUGUCAAAUAUUCUUGUUUUCCUUACACUCUCACUCGUUUCAGUGGAUAUAUUCACACAUGUUGCAAAUUGAUAACAAGGAAGAGAAUGCACGCAGGCAGCAUGAGUGUAUUCAGGCUCAGAGAGGGGAAAAAAAAGCCUGAAAUUACUCCCUUUCCUUAAUGAUGCCCACACAGAGACAAUGGGGCGCCGCUCUGAUUAGUGUCACCUGUCCUUGUGCAUCUCAUCAGCUCCAUUAUGGCUCCAUCUCCCAUGCUUCUUCUGCUAAUUGAAUAGCCUGUGAAGUGGUGACGAGGACGGGGGCGAGAGCAACGUCUGUCCCGCUGCUGCUUCAGAAAUGAGACUAAAGCUUCCCAGAGAGACACUAGUUCUUAAAACAUAAACCAUUAUCAUACAGACAGAAAGCGUGCUAACAAGUCGCUCUCAUGUUAUAUUACCGUCACACUGUCUGCACACUAUUUUCACCUAUAACUGCUUGGAAUUAACAUUUUGGGCCAUUUGCAGCAAAAGAGAUGGAUGAGAGGAAUGAUAAUCAAACACACAUUGUUUAUUAAAUAUAAGAUUAUUGCUGGUUAGGUUAGCUUAGCACAAAGUCUGGGAACAUGGAGCCUAGCUUUGAUGAAAUCUGCAUACCAGGUGAGCUCUGAAGCUCACCAUCAACCCCCGAUCUGUUGUGUCUUCGGUGUCUUCCAAAACUGACGUUGUGGGCAGUUGAAAGUGGUGUA